GACUAACGCUGGCGGCGUGCCUAACACAUGCAAGUCGAACGAAGCAGCAAUGCUUAGUGGCAGACGGGUGAGUAACGCGUAGAUAAUGUGCCCUCUUGCGGGGGAUACCGUUUCGAAAGGAACGUUAAUACCGCAUAAAGUCCUUAGGAGGCAUCUCUUAGGGACCAAACUUCCGGGGCGGGAGGAGCAAUCUGCGUACUAUCAGCUAGUUGGUGAGGUAAUGGCUCACCAAGGCUACGACGGUUAACUGGUCUGAGAGGAUGAUCAGUCACACUGGAACUGAGACACGGUCCAGACUCCUACGGGAGGCAGCAGUGAGGAAUAUUGCACAAUGGCGAAAGCCUGAUGCAGCGACG
This 356-nucleotide ribosomal RNA is filed under the name uncultured bacterium. RNAcentral's name for it is "bacterial SSU rRNA". It matches the Rfam family "Bacterial small subunit ribosomal RNA", at positions 28 to 396 of the family's 1533-position model. The record is from RNAcentral.